This 280-nucleotide unclassified non-coding RNA is filed under the name Hevea brasiliensis (rubber tree). The record is from RNAcentral. Lineage: Eukaryota; Viridiplantae; Streptophyta; Magnoliopsida; Malpighiales; Euphorbiaceae.
AACCUGGCGGCUCAACGCCUUUCAGCUGGAAUGUUGCCCAUGUUGCGGUGCACGGUACUGUAGAACCCCAAGACAUACUUCCAGGCACUGAAGGUGAUUCAGACAACCAAAAUGUUCCCCCUUCUAAAAGCUCGACCUUUUCCUUGUCGUAAAAUAUGGUACAGUGCUGAUCAGAAGUGUCUUCAGCUCCUUUUCUUGAUAUUCCAAACUGUUCAUAACCUUGCAAGCACUGCUGAAUAUAGUCCAACUGUGACUUCACACCUUGUUGGGUACAGAGAAU